This is an RNA transcript of Cryptomeria japonica (Japanese cedar), 2050 nucleotides long. It is a transcript of the gene named rhomboid-like protein 15, with no coding region annotated. NCBI's taxonomy places the organism in Eukaryota, Viridiplantae, Streptophyta, Pinopsida, Cupressales, Cupressaceae. The transcript is spliced from 14 exons. The record is from RefSeq and is a predicted model, not a curated record.
AAUUUUACCGUCUAUAUAAAGCUACAGUUUGACAACAGACAGGAAAUGCUGUCCGUAGACAUCAGACUAGUCUCCAUAGAUUUCUAGAACGAUAGAGAACAGGCGGAGAGCUUUUUUUGUCAAAACAAUUUCUAAAUCAAAAUCCAUACAAUUCAUAUGCAUUGAUUACAUUGAAAUUCUCCUUUUGCCCGAGGAAGAGGGGAAACAAAUAAAACGCUCUGAAUUUGCAGCAUGAGAUCCAACAUUGUUUCAGAGGCAAGUCUGUCGACCAGAAUCGGACAAUGGUGGGGGGGAGUUCCUUUCAUUACCUCAGGAUUGGUGAUUGUGUGUGGGAUCAUUUACUUGAUAUGCCUGCUGAUUGGAUAUGAUUCCUAUUAUGAGAUUUGUCUCUGGCCAGCAGAGGUAAUUUCAAAAUUUCAAGUCUACAGAAUCUAUACUUGUGUUUUAUUUCAUGGUUCAGUGCUACAUGUUAUGUUCAACAUGCUGGCAUUGGUGCCUAUUGGAAGUGGCCUCGAGCGAAUUAUGGGUUCUGUUCGAUACUUACAUGUGACAUUGCUGGUGGCCACCUGUAAUGCAAUUUUGCAUCUAUUGGUUGCUUAUUUGGCAGCACACAACCCUUUAUAUCGUUAUCCUUUGUUUAUGGACGAGUGCACAAUUGGCUUCUCAGGCAUCAUAUUUGCUAUGAUUGUCAUAGAAACUAACUUAAAUGGAAAUCAGAGUCACAGUGUGUUCGGACUAUUCAAUGUACCUGGAAAAUGGUAUGCUUGGAUUCUCCUUAUUCUUUUCCAACUUCUAAUGCCAAAUGUCUCAUUUUUAGGACAUCUGUGUGGCAUUUUGACUGGGUUUGCAUAUACAUAUGGCCUAUUGAAUUAUUUGAUAUUGGGAUCAUCAUCAUAUGCUGCUAUUGAGAGCUCUGCAAUGCUUGCAUUCUGUGUGAGACGCCCUCGAUUCAUAGUAGGUGGCAGUGGGGGUUCAGUUGCUGGACCAGUUAUGCCAUUUUCAAGUGUCUCUACUAGUGGCACAGGUUUUGGAAAUGUUUGGAGACGUCUUCGUUCAUGGUUGCCACAAAGGGAAACUUCAGCUGGUGAGCCACAGCAAGAUUCUCGAUUUCCAGGGAGAGGUCGUGCUCUUGGAUCUUUGCAAAACCAAUCAGCAACGAGGUUUGGCUCUAAUUCAGAACUACAGACCAGGCUUCUGGAAAGGAUCAGCCAACCAGAAGUACGUUCAGAAAUGAUGCCUAUUAGCACCUAUGGAAUGGUAUCUUCCAAUUCAAGGCCUUCACAAAUGGAAAACUUUCUACCGUCAGACUCUAUUGCUACAGAUCAGGUUAAUGUGCAAAAUCAUGCUGAAGCCAUUCAGAAUCUUGUUGCAAUGGGAUUUGAAAAGAAAGAAAAGAGCAACAAUUGAAAGAGUAGUUAGCGGCAGUUGAAAGAGGAGAUUAGGGCAUCAAAUCCACUACAUUAGAGAGUAAGGCAGAGGUUGCACUGGUUGCAGCAAAUGGAGACGUCACUCUAGCUGUUGAACUACUGAGCAGUCCGGAACGUUGACACGUUAGAUUUUGCUGUGAAAAUAUCAGGGCAGAUGUACAAAUGUCAAGUUUUAUAUAGAGGAUGUUAGCAUGUGGAACAAGUACAGGAAAUUCAAUUUUCGAACCUUCAAAUCAACUGGAUAUUGCAGUGCUCCAAUAAGGAACUGGCUGUAUUGCAUUUUCAUAUACCCUAGUAAGCACUGACUCCUUACAACCAAAUUAGAGGCUCUUGUUUGUUGUCCAUAAACUAGCCAUCAGUCCUUGGCUUCUAGGUUUUAAGUUUUGUGCUAGAAAUGAUCAUCAUUGUGUCAAUCUUGGCUGAUUUGUUGACAGUGAUAAUGCUGAAGAUGGAUAAUAUCUCCACUCCAAUUUAUUGCAAAGCAGAAAGUUCUCAAUUUGAAAGAGAAAUCCUUAUUGAGAUGAUUUGUUUUUCAAGCUGUAUCAGCUAUUGAUAAUUGAUAAUUGAUUUGUCUUGCAAUGUCCUAAAAUUAUUUUAAUAAUGUAAUCUCCUGGGUUUCAUUA